Molecule: ribosomal RNA, 281 nt
Filed under: uncultured bacterium
Lineage: Bacteria
Description: partial 16S ribosomal RNA
Rfam family: Bacterial small subunit ribosomal RNA
Source: RNAcentral
GACGAACGCUGGCGGUGUGCUUCACACAUGCAAGUCGAACGAGGUAGCAAUACCUAGUGGCGGACGGGUGAGUAACGCGUGGGAAUCUGCCUUUAGAUGGGGGAUAACAGGUCGAAAGACUCGCUAAUACCGCAUAUGACGAAAGUUGAAAGGAGUAAUCCGUCUAAAGAUGAGCCCGCGUCCGAUUAGCUAGUUGGUAGAGUAAAAGCCUACCAAGGCGACGAUCGGUAGCUGGUCUGAGAGGAUGAUCAGCCACAAUGGGACUAGAGACACGGCCCAUA